CAGCCUACGGGACGCAGCAGUGAGGAAUAUUGGUCAAUGGGCGAGAGCCUGAACCAGCCAAGUCGCGUGAAGGAUGACGGCCCUACGGGUUGUAAACUUCUUUUGUCAGGGAGCAAUUGGGUCCACGUGUGGGCUUAGCGAGAGUACCUGAAGAAAAAGCAUCGGCUAACUCCGUGCCAGCAGCCGCGGUAAUACGGAGGAUGCGAGCGUUAUCCGGAUUUAUUGGGUUUAAAGGGUGCGUAGGCGGAAUAUCACGUCAGUGGUAAAAAUGCGGGGCUCACCCCCGUCGUGCUGUUGAAACUGCU
This 305-nucleotide ribosomal RNA is filed under the name uncultured bacterium. RNAcentral's name for it is "bacterial SSU rRNA". It matches the Rfam family "Bacterial small subunit ribosomal RNA", at positions 334 to 637 of the family's 1533-position model. The record is from RNAcentral.